Molecule: transfer RNA, 73 nt
Filed under: Marmota monax (woodchuck)
Lineage: Eukaryota; Metazoa; Chordata; Mammalia; Rodentia; Sciuridae
Description: tRNA.Ala
Source: RNAcentral
GUGGAGUAGUAGCUCAGUAGUAGAGUGCUUGCCUAGCAUGUGUGAGGCACUGGGUUCGAUUCUCAGCACCACG